This 124-nucleotide transfer RNA is filed under the name Biscogniauxia mediterranea. Its description in RNAcentral is "tRNA-Pro". It matches the Rfam family "tRNA". From Rfam's summary of the family: Transfer RNA (tRNA) molecules are approximately 80 nucleotides in length. Their secondary structure includes four short double-helical elements and three loops (D, anti-codon, and T loops). Lineage: Eukaryota; Fungi; Ascomycota; Sordariomycetes; Xylariales; Xylariaceae. The record is from RNAcentral.
GGCGUGGUGGUCUAGUGGUAUGAUUCUUGCUUAGGGUAGUUGCGAAAGAGUCAAGACCUUGCUCUUCUCUCUUUGGCCCUUUCCUACUUGCAAGAGGUCCCGGGUUCGAUCCCCGGCCAGGCCC